GGGCAGGUAGCUCAGGUGGUAGAGCACUCGGCUGAAAACCGGGGUGUCGCCGGUUCGACUCCGGCCCUGCCCACCA
This 76-nucleotide transfer RNA is filed under the name Phycisphaerae bacterium. RNAcentral's name for it is "tRNA-Phe". It matches the Rfam family "tRNA". Rfam says of the family: Transfer RNA (tRNA) molecules are approximately 80 nucleotides in length. Their secondary structure includes four short double-helical elements and three loops (D, anti-codon, and T loops). Further hydrogen bonds mediate the characteristic L-shaped molecular structure. tRNAs have two regions of fundamental functional importance: the anti-codon, which is responsible for specific mRNA codon recognition, and the 3' end, to which the tRNAs corresponding amino acid is attached (by aminoacyl-tRNA synthetases). tRNAs cope with the degeneracy of the genetic code in two manners: having more than one tRNA (with a specific anti-codon) for a particular amino acid; and 'wobble' base-pairing, i.e. permitting non-standard base-pairing at the 3rd anti-codon position. Lineage: Bacteria; Pseudomonadati; Planctomycetota; Phycisphaerae. RNAcentral also lists the same sequence under 1 other name. The record is from RNAcentral.